CAGCUCACCUUUGCCUUGUACCUUUAGUGACUUGAGUUUACCUUGCCUCACAAACCAUUGGAUAUAGAAUAAAGUUAGCGGAAUACUGGAUUUGUAUGCAAGGGCCCCACAUAAGAUUAUUCAACAACACAUAUAGAGCUGGGAAUGAUUUAUUAUGUGCCGCUUAACAGUACAAAAGCUGGAGCAGCACUUGUUAUUUUGUGAACAGUUUCUGUCUCUUUAACUUGUAGGAAGCAGCUUUAAGAAAAUAUUAGAUGGAAUUAAGAAACCACCCUCACAUAUGCAGGUAGUUCAUGAAAACUGUGAUUUGCAUGCUUUGAAAUGCCGCACUCACCAACUCAACAAAAGCUUUUGUUAUGCAAAAAUUUUCUUGAACCUAUAUGCAAUUUCAAAAGUUUAAAUCAGUAUUACUUCUAAUGUGCUAAUUGUGUUUUCCCUGCAGGGUUGAUCCGCUGCCAAUGCUGAGUUAUGGAGCCGAUCCAAUCAUCCCUUGAGAGUUGGUUUGUCCAAAGCUCAUCAACCGAUGCAUACAGAUGAUUGCAUUACACAUGGUGCAUGUGCAUUAGUUUGCUAUUUGUUAA
This 581-nucleotide unclassified non-coding RNA is filed under the name Hevea brasiliensis (rubber tree). Lineage: Eukaryota; Viridiplantae; Streptophyta; Magnoliopsida; Malpighiales; Euphorbiaceae. The record is from RNAcentral.